UGAUAUGAAGAACUUGUUCAGUAAUUUGAUUUUUCAACAUUGCAAUGAGUGGCGAACGGGUGAGUAACACGUGGAAACCUACCUCUUAGCAGGGGAUAACAUUUGGAAACAAAUGCUAAUACCGUAUAAUAAUUAAAACCGCAUGGUUUUAGUUUAAAAGAUGGUCUUGCUAUCACUAAGAGAUGGUCCCGCGGUGUAUUAGUUAGUUGGUGAGGUAAUGGCUCACCAAGACAAUGAUACAUAGCCGAGUUGAGAGACUGACCGGCCACAAUGGGACUGAGACACGGCCCAUACUCCUACGGGAGGCAGCAGUAGGGAAUCUUCCACAAUGGACGAAAGUCUGAUGGAGCAACGCCGCGUGUGUGAUGAAGGGUUUCGGCUCGUAAAACACUGUUGUAAGAGAAGAAUGACAUUGAGAGUAACUGUUCAAUGUGUGACGGUAUCUUACCAGAAAGGAACGGCUAAAUACGUG
This 472-nucleotide ribosomal RNA is filed under the name uncultured bacterium. RNAcentral describes it as "bacterial SSU rRNA". It matches the Rfam family "Bacterial small subunit ribosomal RNA", at positions 51 to 507 of the family's 1533-position model. The record is from RNAcentral.